RNAcentral lists this ribosomal RNA (465 nucleotides) under uncultured Klebsiella sp. Its description in RNAcentral is "bacterial SSU rRNA". It matches the Rfam family "Bacterial small subunit ribosomal RNA", at positions 338 to 795 of the family's 1533-position model. Lineage: Bacteria; Pseudomonadati; Pseudomonadota; Gammaproteobacteria; Enterobacterales; Enterobacteriaceae. The record is from RNAcentral.
CCUACGGGUGGCAGCAGUGGGGAAUAUUGCACAAUGGGCGCAAGCCUGAUGCGGCCAUGCCGCGUGUGUGAAGAAGGCCUUCGGGUUGUAAAGCACUUUCAGCGGGGAGGAAGGCGUUAAGGUUAAUAACCUUAUCGAUUGACGUUACCCGCAGAAGAAGCACCGGCUAACUCCGUGCCAGCAGCCGCGGUAAUACGGAGGGUGCAAGCGUUAAUCGGAAUUACUGGGCGUAAAGCGCACGCAGGCGGUCUGUCAAGUCGGAUGUGAAAUCCCCGGGCUCAACCUGGGAACUGCAUUCGAAACUGGCAGGCUAGAGUCUUGUAGAGGGGGGUAGAAUUCCAGGUGUAGCGGUGAAAUGCGUAGAGAUCUGGAGGAAUACCGGUGGCGAAGGCGGCCCCCUGGACAAAGACUGACGCUCAGGUGCGAAAGCGUGGGGAGCAAACAGGAUUAGAUACCCGUGUAGUC